GUUUCCAGUUUACAAUCGGCGCCUAGAUGAGUCGUGUCACCCCGCCCGUGGUCGGGUCAAUUUUCUCGCGAGACACGCGGAAGUGAUCAUCUUCUCUUUUUUUCUUUUUUCUGCUGUACGAAUUCUGUGACGGCGGAGCGGAAUCCGCCGAGCGUUUCUCUCGGAAUUCGCGAAUCGUGUAUAAGAAUCGCGAGAAGUUGGACGCGCGAUAAUUCAUCUUGUGUGAAACAGUCGACGGCGAAGCGUGACAGUGCGAUCGAGCGACGGAACGACUCCGACCGGAAGCGAAGGGAGACGACGAAUCGCGUUAGGAUGAAAACGAGGAAACUCAGGCGAAACAAUUUGUGUGGAUACCUGGAUAGUAGCGGGAAGCUCGGUGAAGGCUCUGUUGCGUAGAACUUAGGGUUACCAUGUGUCCUACUUCUAGUUGAGUCCCACAACUCCUGCAUACUGCAUACCUGUCAAGCGACUGCGUUUAAAUGUCCUUUGGAAAUAAACAAUCUAAUUUUGCAUAGAAAUGUGCGAAGGGUGACGAUAAAUUUAAAUUUAAAAAUAGAGCCUUUCACUCCGUCUCCUUUCUUCCGCGAUCACGUAUGCGUGUUUCCGUAUAUUAUCCUCUAAAAUAUGGAAACCCUAGUAAGACGUGAAGCCGCGUCGCGAUAACGUGUGUGUUCGCGAGUGCGAAACGAUACAUAAUUUUCAACGGAAAUGAGCCUUGCCAAUCCUACCGCGAUGUCGGCCGUCGACGACUUCGACGACGUCCCAUGGAAUGGCACCAACAAGACAGACUUCGAUUACGACAUCGAAGAGUCCUUCAAUACUUUCUAUUGGGACGAACUGGCACCUGUCUUGGUAAUCUACAGCUUGACCUUCUUCAUCGGAUUAAUCGGGAACGUUAUGAUCAUCGCAUCGACCCUUUGUCGGCUCAGGCCGCUGCCGGCGACACCGACGAACGUUUUCCUGGGCGGUCUGGCCACGGCUGAUCUUCUGUUAAUCAUGUUCUGCAUACCCGUAAAAAUAGCGAAAUUGUUUUCCUACACGUGGACCAUGGGUAUUUUUCUAUGCAAAGCGGUGCAUUACAUGCAGAGUGUGUCAGCCAUCUGUUCGGUCGUCACCCUCACUGCGAUGUCGAUCGAGAGGUAUUACGCGAUAGUGCAUCCAAUGAAAGCGCAAUACAUGUGCACCAUAAGCCAAGCUCGUAAGAUCGUGAUCAUAACCUGGAUCGUGGCAUUUCUGCUGGGAGUACCAAUAAUGUUUGCACAGACACACAAGAAGGUCGGGCUGAGACGGAUCGCAUAUUGGUGCGUGCGUAACUCCGAGACCGGAUUCCUGUUGCGAGCCCACGAGGUUUAUAUGCUCAUCGUGGUCCUCGUUAUACCGCUGAUCAUCAUGGGGUUCUGCUACACGAGCAUCUGCUGGGAGAUCUGGCGCGUUAUGAAGCGCCGGUAUCACAUGACGUCGCGACAUGCAUUAAAUCCAAACAGCGCAGAUACGGAAUCUAUUCCCAUGACACAGAGGCAGAGCGGAAACGAACGUAAAUCGCGGCGGAACGAGAAAGACGAAGAAUCAAAAACAAUGAAGCAGGUGGUGAAGAUGUUAGUGGCAGUCGUUGUGAUAUUCGCCAUUUGCUGGGCCCCGUUGCUCGUCGACAACGUGCUGACCGCUUACGGCUACCUGCCACGCAUCAAGGAUGGAAUGUACAAGCACUUUAACACCGCGUUCCAUCUGAUGGCCUAUUUUAACAGCUGUAUAAACCCGAUAAUUUACGGGUUUAUGUCAAAGCACUUCAGGGAAAACUUCCUGUCGGCUGCCUGCAGCGGUUGGUUGAUUUGCUGCUCCAGGAGAGGCUAUCGGGCAUCUGUAACGAGGAACCCAAGUCUCAGUCAGACUCGAACCACGACCGUAAGGUGGAUCCGAAACUCCUUCGGGGAGUCAAAGUCCCGAAACUCGAGCGAACCGCAUCCCGUAGACCACCCGUGACACGCUUACGGGGUUCGCAAGUCCCCGGUAAACGGACGUGUCCCCGACGAAGCGAGUGACCCCCUCGAAAAUCCAUGUGCAUGUGCGACGAAUGUCCGGCUAGAGUAGACGAGUGGAGCACGAUUUGAUCGAGAUGGACCUGAUUCUUCCUUCAUCCCCGGACCAGACCGUCGGGGGAGGUCUCCGUUGGAUAGGACACUUCCGAGUUUAUUCGCGUCACACGAUACGGGAGGUGAGACAUGCCAUGCUGCCACCGUCACGAUCCUUCGUUCGAUCCGCUCCUCGAAGCAGUCGCCUACGAACGGACAGUGGCCGUUUCGAGGAGCCGAUCGAGCGCAAAGUGACAGAACUUUGCGUGAAUUGACUGGCGGGCCGAAACUACCCGCUGGGCUGCCCAGAGUGUAAGUAAAGUUGUCGGUCCUCAUGAUCUACCCACCAUCCUCGCACCUUGUAACGACAGCGUUAUCGCUCACUCGUCCCGUGGGCGGGAUAAUUGGGACAUUCGGGUUGGAUUAUACGGGUUGAUUAAUUGGACACUCGCACAAUUGGAUGUUUAAUGUACGGUUAAAGCUCGCGUUAGGUGGGCGGAUAAAGGUCAAGCGAGUGGGCAACGCGGACUCCCACGGCGGCCACAUAUUGGGUCAUAAAUACACGCCGUAUAAGCUUGAAAUCGAUCGAUUUACAAAAUCCCGCCGAGAUAUCUCGUCGAGAUGGACGCGCCGAUGAAAUUACUCGACGCGGAAUCGUGAGUGACGGACCGGACGUUCGCUCGAAAAAUUUUUCCAGUGUCGAGAUGUCCCACCCCUACAAGCGCUAUGAUGUUAUUUAAUAUUAAUAAAAAGUGGUUAUAUGUUCGUUCUUGAUAAUAUACGAAUAUUAGAUGACCAGACUAUCACGUGAGAAGUAAAUAUUAUAUUUACUUCAAUAUUUUAAAUUAUUGGGAAUAUUAUAAUUUUUGUGUAAAUGCAAUAAUUAUGAAGUUUAUAAAUAUUUCAUAACAUUUACACAAUAAUUCACAUUGAUUUUUGAAAACAAUAUUCGUAGAAUGUUUUCAUAAUUUUCGUUUCGCGGAAAUAAUGUGCUACGAAUUUAUAUAAAGCCGACAUAUAACAUUAAUAUAACAUUAAAAAGUAUUAUAAUCUCGCAUUAUUGUUUGAAUUUUUAAUAAUAUUUGUAUAAUAUUCUAGGAACAUUGUAGCGCUUAUCAGGAUGUUAAAUCUUUAAAUAUGUGAAUCUCUUUAAUCCCGCGGAGAAUUGUUCGAGAAUUACGUAAAAAUAAUAUAAAAGAUAAAAAGGUACUCCCGCCGUCUUGUUCAACAGCGCUAGACAGCGAGAAUGUAUUUCCUUCUUAUUUUCUACCUAUAGUGUAGCGCAAGUUCUGUCCGAUCUCGAGAGUUUGCUCUCCUUCGUAUAGUGCUUACUACCUCUCAGCAAAAUUCGAGACUGGACAGUUUAGCCGCUACGGUCUGAUUCUCAUUCAGUAUUUGCGCCUAGAUGUCGUUUUCGUGUUGACCAAAGAAAAAAAAAAAAUGUAAAAUUCGAUGUUUGUCGGUAAAUGUUGCGUCGUGGAUGUACGGACCAAAGAGCGCCGAUUUUGUGGAAAAAUCAUUUCGACGAAUGCUCAGAGCAAAUGUUUCAAAGCUGUACAUAACAAGAAGAUACGUUAUAUCGCGCCGCAAAUAACACACAGUUGUCCUUUGGUUUUUGAAACAUUUGCGAAAUACAAUAUUUUGUGUCGGCGAAUAUUUCUCACGGCGAGUAAUUUUGCGGUAAGAGGAUGUAAUGAAACCACUGGAUAUUCAGAUGUCACACACAUAUAUUUGUAUAUACAUGUAAUUUUCUUGACGUCACAAAUAAUUAUACCCAAAUAGUUUUACGCCACGACCUUGGAAUUAAUUAAUCCUGGGAGGCCAUAUUUGAUUAUAAGUAACACAUCGUGUUUGAAGCUCUGUGCCACGUGCUGGAAACGUAAUCUCAUUAUAAUUGUAGCUAGAUUAAUUAGAUAUAUUAAUUAUACCCGGCAGAUGGUGGGCGCGAACUUUAGAUGAGUAAUCUCGGUUUGUUGCUCAGGAGGAUAUUGCAUUUUCUCUUUUUUCAUCCGCUCACGCUUUUCGAUCUAAUUAAAAUACUAAAUAUCAGAUUAUAAUUUUGUCUAUGAUCAUUAACAUAUUGUUAUCUACUAUUAUUAAGAAUAGAGGUAUUAUCUCUAUUAUUAGCGAUAAUAGUAUUAACCCUUAACCGCUCUAGUGAAAUAGGCUUUCAUUAAAGUCAAAUAGUACAUGGGGUAUUAUUAUAAUACUCCAUUAGAGCGGUUAAGGCUUAAUAGAUAAUGUAAUUAUGUCCAAUAUAUUACAAUAUAAUUAAUAAUAAUGUUAAUAAUAGAAUAAUAUAAUAUAACAAUACUGGCUAUUGUAAAAGACUUUAAUAUACAACUAAGCGGAAGGUCCGUCUGACGGCAAACGCAGACGGGCUUUCGAUAAGUAAGUUAUUUCGUUAAAAAGAAAAAAAACUGGGGAAACCAAGUCGCUAAUCAAUCCAUAGAUGAUACGUAAAUAAGUGAAUAAAUAUUGUUUAGACUUAACGAACGUAUUGUCACGUGAUUUUAAUGAUUCUGUGCUUGUCGACGAGAAUAUCGUCAAGUGUCGUAAGAAUAGCGUAGAAGUUUUGAGUUGAUGUGUGAAAAAAGAAGAGAUGUUAACGCGAGAGAGAUAUCAAACUACGCGCGACUAGUCCACGACACUUGUUAGUAUACAAUCGUAUUGUAUAAAAUUAGAAUCAUUUGCGCCAUUUGUGUAACGGCUUCUGUCACAGCUUGCAUCUGUGUGUUUGUAUGAAAGAAUGAGAAUCACGCAUAUUUAAAUAAAGUAUGUGUGAUUCUCAUCCUUUCCAUGCAAACACAGAGAAUCGCACAUACUUUAUUUAAAUAGGUGCCGGUAAGAGAGCUUUAAAAUAAUUACAUAUUAUAUGCAAAGGUACAAUUUUUGGGCAUUGAGAUUUUUUUCGACAUUUUUAUUCGAAGAAUUAAUUGUGAUAUCACUUAUAAUUUCUAUUGUAACGCCGUCUUCCUUUCGUUAAACGCAUGCAGCAAAGACAUAUUUUUUUAUCAAAUCGUUUAACAGACUGAAUUAACAAAGUAGAGAUAAUUUAAUUGUCGGAAUCAUCGAAGAACAACGGUAUUAAAUGGCAACUUCAUACUUUAGGCUUAUUAAGAUACCUGCUGUAUUGUAUUAGGAUUAUUAAGAUAAUUGAAGAUAAACUAGUCAUCAUAUCGUUAUUGUUUUGUAUCAAUGACAAUAACGAUAUGAUGACCAGUUUAUCUGUCAAUAAACAACAAUAAAGAUAUAUGUAAAG
Molecule: RNA transcript, 5331 nt
Organism: Solenopsis invicta (red fire ant)
Lineage: Eukaryota; Metazoa; Arthropoda; Insecta; Hymenoptera; Formicidae
Gene name: gastrin/cholecystokinin type B receptor
Exons: 11
Source: RefSeq, a predicted model, not a curated record